Molecule: small nucleolar RNA, 158 nt
Organism: Amblyraja radiata (thorny skate)
Lineage: Eukaryota; Metazoa; Chordata; Chondrichthyes; Rajiformes; Rajidae
Source: RefSeq, a predicted model, not a curated record
ACUGCACAUUAUUAAAACUUGGGAAGUAACGCCAUUGUAUGGCCAGUGGACUCUCAAGUGUCGGAAAUGUGCUACAAUAAUCCGGCAGGAUUUCGCUGACACCACGAGGGUCUGUGUGGCCCGCUGAGUGGAGUUUGAUAGUAGUCCUCGCCACAAUU